UGGGGAAUAUUGCACAAUGGGGGAAACCCUGAUGCAGCGACGCCGCGUGAAGGAAGAAGGAUUUCGGUUCGUAAACUUCUAUCAGCAGGGAAGAUAGUGACUGUACCUGACUAAGAAGCCCCGGCUAACUACGUGCCAGCAGCCGCGGUAAUACGUAGGGGGCAAGCGUUAUCCGGAAUUACUGGGUGUAAAGGGUGCGUAGGAGGUUCUUUAAGUCAGAUGUGAAAGCCCGAGGCUCAACUUCGGGACUGCAUUAGAAACUGGGGGACUGGAAUACAGGAGAGGUAAGUGGAAUUCCUAGUGUAGCGGUGAAAUGCGUAGAUAUUAGGAGGAACACCAGUGGCGAAGGCGACUUACUGGACUGUUAUUGACACUGAGGCACGAAAGCGUGGGGAGCGAACAGGAUUAGAUACCCCCGUAGUCC
This 424-nucleotide ribosomal RNA is filed under the name uncultured prokaryote. RNAcentral's name for it is "bacterial SSU rRNA". It matches the Rfam family "Bacterial small subunit ribosomal RNA", at positions 355 to 796 of the family's 1533-position model. The record is from RNAcentral.